GUGCCAGCCGCCGCGGUAAUACCGGCAGCCCGAGUGAUGGCCGAUCUUAUUGGGCCUAAAGCGUCCGUAGCUGGCUGCGCAAGUCCGUCGGGAAAUCCACUCGCUCAACGAGUGGGCGUCCGACGGAAACUCCACACCUUGGGACCGGAAGGCUCGAAGGGUACGGCCGGGGUAGGAGUGAAAUCCUGUAAUCCCGUCCGGACCACCGAUGGCGAAAGCACUUCGAGAAAACGGAUCCGACAGUGAGGGACGAAAGCUAAGAUCGCGAACCGGAAUAGAAACCCGAGUAGUCC
This 293-nucleotide ribosomal RNA is filed under the name uncultured bacterium. Its description in RNAcentral is "partial 16S ribosomal RNA". It matches the Rfam family "Archaeal small subunit ribosomal RNA", at positions 455 to 747 of the family's 1478-position model. The record is from RNAcentral.